UGGGGAAUAUUGCACAAUGGGCGAAAGCCUGAUGCAGCAACGCCGCGUGAGUGAUGAAGGUCUUCGGAUUGUAAAGCUCUGUCUUUUGGGACGAUAAUGACGGUACCAAAGGAGGAAGCCACGGCUAACUACGUGCCAGCAGCCGCGGUAAUACGUAGGUGGCGAGCGUUGUCCGGAUUUACUGGGCGUAAAGGGUGCGUAGGCGGAUGUUUAAGUGAGAUGUGAAAUACCCGGGCUUAACUUGGGUGCUGCAUUUCAAACUGGAUAUCUAGAGUGCAGGAGAGGAGAAUGGAAUUCCUAGUGUAGCGGUGAAAAUGCGUAGAGAUUAGGGAGAACACCAGUGGCGAAGGCGAUUCUCUGGACUGUAACUGACGCUGAGGCACGAAAGCGUGGGUAGCAAACAGGAUUAGAUACCCUGGUAGUCCACGCCGUAAACGAUGAGUACUAGGUGUAGGAGGUAUCGACCCCCUUCUGUGCCGCAGUAAAACACAUUAAGUACUCCGCCUGGGAAGUACGAUCGCAAGAUUAAAAACUCUAAAAGUGAAUUGAC
RNAcentral lists this ribosomal RNA (550 nucleotides) under uncultured bacterium. Its description in RNAcentral is "partial 16S ribosomal RNA". It matches the Rfam family "Bacterial small subunit ribosomal RNA", at positions 355 to 914 of the family's 1533-position model. The record is from RNAcentral.